Molecule: long non-coding RNA, 296 nt
Filed under: Lepisosteus oculatus (spotted gar)
Lineage: Eukaryota; Metazoa; Chordata; Actinopteri; Semionotiformes; Lepisosteidae
Description: lncRNA (ENSLOCG00000021431.1)
Source: RNAcentral
GGGGGGUCGAGGCAGUACAAACGUUUGAUCAGCAGGGCACGGAUCUUUUUCUUUUUAAUUGCUGGAGUAGGAGGGCUGCGCCCAGUUAACCCACGACAACAGCAAAGCCACAGUCAGCUCCUGAUGACACGGGCUGACUUGUUGCGAAGGAAACGUGUGUGAGAAACAGAGUGGUGGCUUUGUGCCAGCCCAGAGCCACGGAAACGCACACUCUGCAGGGGCAGACAACCGAGAAGCAGCUCUCCUUCACAGGGACUGUGUUAGUGCUACACUUCACAGUACAGUAUGUACAGUAC